Molecule: long non-coding RNA, 544 nt
Filed under: Sinocyclocheilus grahami
Lineage: Eukaryota; Metazoa; Chordata; Actinopteri; Cypriniformes; Cyprinidae
Description: lncRNA (ENSSGRG00000051967.1)
Source: RNAcentral
CAUCAGGGCACACCUAUACAGUGGACAUGGAGUUGGAGCUCAGCACUUGUCCACCAGGCAGCAGUAGUGCAAAAUUCCAACAUCACCUCCAUCAACUUUCUCCCCACAACAGCUGAAAUGAGGGCUGAGCUGCUGAAAAUAACAAAAGCCUCAGUUUCUCUUGACUUUCUAAACCCUUUACGGCAAAAUAUGCCAAAGCCAAGCACAUUAGCUCCAGAGUCACAUCAGCUGGACCUGUCUUCCACCAUCUCUGCACAAUUGCGCCAAACAUCACCUAUGCAAGAGGACUCAUACUCCAACCAACCCUGUGUACAGGGUAACUCAGAGGGAGCACCUUUACCUCAGUCUCCUGUGAGACGGAUGCUGGGACUGCUCAGUGAAAUGGCUGAAAACUCAGACUACAGUGAUGCCAUGACUACAAUGGCCAAGCAGCUUGAAAAGAUGCAGCACAACCCGACCCAAAUGAUCUCCGCAUUUUACUGCUUUGAAAGGGAUGACUGUGUCAAAACGUGCAGCAGCGUGUGUAUAUAUAUAUAUAAUUAAA